GACGAACGCUUUUGGCGUGCUUAACACAUGCAAGUCGAACGGAAAGGCCCUGCUUUUGUGGGGUGCUCGAGUGGCGAACGGGUGAGUAACACGUGAGUAACCUGCCCUUGACUUUGGGAUAACUUCAGGAAACUGGGGCUAAUACCGGAUAGGAGCUCCUGCUGCAUGGUGGGGGUUGGAAAGUUUCGGCGGUUGGGGAUGGACUCGCGGCUUAUCAGCUUGUUGGUGGGGUAGUGGCUUACCAAGGCUUUGACGGGUAGCCGGCCUGAGAGGGUGACCGGCCACAUUGGGACUGAGAUACGGCCCAGACUCCUACGGGAGGCAGCAGUGGGGAAUAUUGCACAAUGGGCGGAAGCCUGAUGCAGCAACGCCGCGUGCGGGAUGACGGCCUUCGGGUUGUAAACCGCUUUCGCCUGUGACGAAGCGUGAGUGACGGUAAUGGGUAAAGAAGCACCGGCUAACUACGUGCCAGCAGCCGCGGUGAUACGUAGGGUGCGAGCGUUGUCCGGAUUUAUUGGGCGUAAAGGGCUCGUAGGUGGUUGAUCGCGUCGGAAGUGUAAUCUUGGGGCUUAACCCUGAGCGUGCUUUCGAUACGGGUUGACUUGAGGAAGGUAGGGGAGAAUGGAAUUCCUGGUGGAGCGGUGGAAUGCGCAGAUAUCAGGAGGAACACCAGUGGCGAAGGCGGUUCUCUGGGCCUUUCCUGACGCUGAGGAGCGAAAGCGUGGGGAGCGAACAGGCUUAGAUACCCUGGUAGUCCACGCUGUAAACGGUGGGUACUAGGUGUGGGGUCCAUUCCACGGGUUCCGUGCCGUAGCUAACGCUUUAAGUACCCCGCCUGGGGAGUACGGCCGCAAGGCUAAAACUCAAAGGAAUUGACGGGGCCCCGCACAAGCGGCGGAGCAUGCGGAUUAAUUCGAUGCAACGCGUAGAACCUUACCUGGGUUUGACAUGGGUCGGGAGUGCUCAGAGAUGGGUGUGCCUCUUUUGGGGUCGGUUCACAGGUGGUGCAUGGCUGUCGUCAGCUCGUGUCGUGAGAUGUUGGGUUAAGUCCCGCAACGAGCGCAACCCUUGUUCACUGUUGCCAGCACGUUAUGGUGGGGACUCAGUGGAGACCGCCGGGGUCAACUCGGAGGAAGGUGGGGAUGACGUCAAGUCAUCAUGCCCCUUGUGUCCAGGGCUUCACGCAUGCUACAAUGGCUGGUACAGAGAGUGGCGAGCCUGUGAGGGUGAGCGAAUCUCGGAAAGCCGGUCUCAGUUCGGAUUGGGGUCUGCAACUCGACCUCAUGAAGUCGGAGUCGCUAGUAAUCGCAGAUCAGCAACGCUGCGGUGAAUACGUUCCCGGGGCU
This 1346-nucleotide ribosomal RNA is filed under the name uncultured bacterium. RNAcentral's name for it is "partial 16S ribosomal RNA". It matches the Rfam family "Bacterial small subunit ribosomal RNA", at positions 28 to 1381 of the family's 1533-position model. The record is from RNAcentral.